CAUUAAGAAGCUAAAAUAGCACUAGCCUUUUAAGCUAGAGACUGAGAACUCAAAUAUUCUCCUUAAUGG
Molecule: transfer RNA, 69 nt
Filed under: Blastocerus dichotomus (marsh deer)
Lineage: Eukaryota; Metazoa; Chordata; Mammalia; Artiodactyla; Cervidae
Description: tRNA-Lys
Rfam family: tRNA
About the family: Transfer RNA (tRNA) molecules are approximately 80 nucleotides in length.
Source: RNAcentral